CAAACAUUUAUUAUUCUUUAUUGUAUAAAAUAACCUAACUGAAAAAACACCAAGAUUGCUAUUCACUGAAAAUCAUUUUGGGGAAAUCAUGGGCAAAGUUUUGGAUAAAAUUCUCUAAAAUUACAAAUUAUGGUAAACUAAAAUAAACAUGGCAACAUUUAGAAAAAUAGCUCAUCUGGGAAAAUUAUCCCACUCGGCUAAAUAAUAUUUUAUCAAUUCCUGCAUAUGGUUUCCAUUUGGAAUUUCAUUCACUACAAUUCUGAACAAACCAAACUGCAUUUAGCCAAAUUUUACAUUAAUUGACUCAACUAAUGCUCAAAGUGAGCUGAAUUGAUUAACUCCUUCACUACCAAAAAUGUUUAUACACAAAUGUAAAAUGUAUACCCUCAAAACUGCAUUAUAGGAACAAAAGCAAAUGGAUGGGAAGCUUAAAGGGACACUAUAGUCAUCCAGACCACUUCAGCUCAAUUAAGUGGUCUGGGUGUCAGGUCCCUCUAGGGUUAACCCUGCCUGAUGUAAACAUAGCAGUUUCUGAGAAACUGCUAUGUUUACAUCUGGGGUUAGGCCAGCCUCUAGUGGCUGUCUUCCGGCCAGCCACUAGAGGCGCAUCGGCAAUGAUUGAGGCAUAUUAUGCCUCAAUCACGCAGAGCAUCUAUAGGAAAGCAUUG
This is a non-coding RNA of Pelobates cultripes (western spadefoot toad), 668 nucleotides long. The record is from the annotation of a GenBank genome assembly. Lineage: Eukaryota; Metazoa; Chordata; Amphibia; Anura; Pelobatidae.